This 505-nucleotide ribosomal RNA is filed under the name uncultured Planctomycetota bacterium. RNAcentral describes it as "bacterial SSU rRNA". It matches the Rfam family "Bacterial small subunit ribosomal RNA", at positions 1003 to 1503 of the family's 1533-position model. The record is from RNAcentral. Lineage: Bacteria; Pseudomonadati; Planctomycetota.
GAUGAAGUCACUCUCCCUUCGGGGCCUGUGCACAGGUGCUGCAUGGCUGUCGUCAGCUCGUGUCGUGAGAUGUUGGGUUAAGUCCCGCAACGAGCGCAACCCUCGCCCUCUGUUGCUACCGGGUCAUGCCGGGCACUCUGAGGGGACUGCCCCGGUGAACGGGGAGGAAGGUGGGGAUGACGUCAAGUCCUCAUGGCCUUUAUGUCCAGGGCUACACACGUGCUACAAUGGUCAGGACAAUGGGUCGCUCCCUCGCAAGAGGUUGCCAAUCUCAAAAACCUGGCCUUAGUUCGGAUGGUCGGCUGCAACUCGCCGGCCUGAAGCUGGAAUCGCUAGUAAUCGGAGAUCAGCACGCUCCGGUGAAUACGUUCCCGGGCCUUGUACACACCGCCCGUCACACCACGAAAGCUGUGUGUACCAGAAGUCGCUGGGCCAACCCCUUCGGGGGAGGUAGGCGCCUAAGGUAUGCGGGGUAAUUGGGGUGAAGUCGUAACAAGGUAGCCGU